ACCUGCGGAAGGAUCAUUGUCGUGACCCUGACCAAAACAGACCGUGAACAUGUCAUCCAUGCUGCCGGUUGAUGGGGGCUUUGCACCUAUCUCUCGGUCUGGGGCCACCGACCUUCUUCCCGAGGGACGGGGGCCCAAAAGAACCCACGGCGCCGUAUGGCGUCAAGGAAAACUGAUAUUGCCUUUGCUCGGGGCCGUGACCGGCUUGCCGGACGCACCCGUGCAGCAGUUGAUACGGAAAUUCACAUGACUCUUGGCAACGGAUAUCUCGGCUCUUGCAUCGAUGAAGAACGUAGCAAAAUGCGAUACCUGGUGUGAAUUGCAGAAUCCCGUGAACCAUCGAGUUUUUGAACGCAAGUUGCGCCCGAGGCCUUUUGGCCGAGGGCACGUCUGCCUGGGCGUCACACCGAAAGACACUCCGCACCGAUCCCGGUCCGGACGUGGUGUUUGGCCCCUCAUGCCCCAGGGUGUGGUAGGCCAAAAGAUGGGGCUGCCGGCGGUGCCGAUCACAGCACAAGGUGGAUGACGCAAGUUGUUCUCGGUGUUAGGAUCCGGACCACUAGCGGUGAUGUUAUUUACGGCCCCUCUGGACCCAUGGUUAGGAGCGCAUGUUUGCUCGUACCGCGACCCCAGGUCAGUCGGGACUACCCGCUGAAUUUAAGCAUAUCAAUAAGCGG
This 677-nucleotide ribosomal RNA is filed under the name Enteropogon dolichostachyus. Its description in RNAcentral is "eukaryotic LSU rRNA". The stretch from base 249 to 404 matches the Rfam family "5.8S ribosomal RNA". Lineage: Eukaryota; Viridiplantae; Streptophyta; Magnoliopsida; Poales; Poaceae. The record is from RNAcentral.